Molecule: ribosomal RNA, 493 nt
Filed under: uncultured bacterium
Lineage: Bacteria
Description: partial 16S ribosomal RNA
Rfam family: Bacterial small subunit ribosomal RNA
Source: RNAcentral
GAUGAACGCUGGCGGCGUGCUUAACACAUGCAAGUCGAACGGUAACAGGUUAAGCUGACGAGUGGCGAACGGGUGAGUAAUGCAUCGGAACGUGCCCGGUCGUGGGGGAUAACGCAGCGAAAGCUGCGCUAAUACCGCAUACGAUCUAAGGAUGAAAGCGGGGGACCGUAAGGCCUCGCGCGAUCGGAGCGGCCGAUGUCAGAUUAGGGAGUUGGUGGGGUAAAGGCUCACCAAGCCAACGAUCUGUAGCUGGUAUGAGAGGACGACCAGCCUAACUGGGACUGAGACACGGCCCAGACUCCUACGGGAGGCAGCAGUGGGGAAUUUUGGACAAUGGGCGAAAGCCUGAUCCAGCAAUGCCGCGUGCAGGAAGAAGGCCUUCGGGUUGUAAACUGCUUUUGUACGGAGCGAAAAGGUCUCCUCUAAUACAGGGGGCUCAUGACGGUACCGUAAGAAUAAGCACCGGCUAACUACGUGCCAGCAGCCGCCGCAG